Long non-coding RNA from Nerophis ophidion (straightnose pipefish), 565 nucleotides. RefSeq lists it as uncharacterized. The transcript has 4 exons. NCBI's taxonomy places the organism in Eukaryota, Metazoa, Chordata, Actinopteri, Syngnathiformes, Syngnathidae. The record is from RefSeq and is a predicted model, not a curated record.
GUCGGACCUUUUAAGCGACGGACACAUCGAUCCAUAUAAGCUUCGUCACCAAACUCGGUCAAACAUGUACCACAGCAAACGUUUCCCAGCUCGCAAAGAUUCUAUAAAUCCAUGAGAAGAAGACAGCCUGCCGUUUCCUUUAACUUGGACACACACAUCUAUACCUUUGGCCAUUCUGAAGGGACAAGGAAACAAUACCUGGCAGCAGCAAGCGUGGAGGAUAUCAACUGGGACUGGACCUAGACGCCAUCAGCAGGAAUGAGAGCUGCCGUUUGCUUCGCCUCGCCAGCCCCUUUCCAAGCACAGGUCCGUCACGGCGACCCCUGCCAGAGGCAAGACCCAGCAAUUAGGGGGACGAGACAUGCAUCUGAUGCAUUAAGCACGAUGGACGCGGACGCACUGCACGCUGAUCUAAUACUACAUCCCCGCGGGGAAUUGGAGUGAGGUAGCGGCCGUCCAGCGUCCAACAAACCUGGCAUUGUGCGUACUUAAUGUCCCCUUGUGGAUUAUGUGCUCCGGUCCCUGCAGUAUCACGUGACCGGGUCCGUGUCCCAUUUGCCAGAUU